Molecule: small nuclear RNA, 292 nt
Filed under: Nannospalax galili (Upper Galilee mountains blind mole rat)
Lineage: Eukaryota; Metazoa; Chordata; Mammalia; Rodentia; Spalacidae
Description: 7SK RNA (ENSNGAG00000002657.1)
Rfam family: 7SK RNA
About the family: 7SK was discovered as an abundant small nuclear RNA in the mid-70s but a possible function has only recently been suggested.
Source: Rfam by way of RNAcentral
AGGUAACCUGACUGCAGCAUCUGUCACUUCAUUGAUAGCCAGAUAACAUCGAUUCUGCUGAUCUGGCUGGCUAGGCAGACAGUCCCUUCCUUUCUCGCUGCUCUAUGUGCUUCUCUGUAACCCGAGUUCCGAGCUGAAGAGGACCAUUUUUUGAUCAGGAGUAUAUGAGUAGCUGCAGCCCCGCACUAGAAGCUCCAGUCAAGCUCUCAACAAGAACAAGUCAAAAGGAAUGUAUAGAAUUAAAACUUAAAGCUAGCUGGUUUGUUGGCUCAUGUCUCUAAUGCCAGCAUUU